AAACGACUCUCGGCAACGGAUAUCUCGGCUCACGCAUCGAUGAAGAACGUAGCAAAAUGCGAUACUUGGUGUGAAUUGCAGAAUCCCGUGAACCAUCGAGUUUUUGAACGCAAGUUGCGCCCGAAGCCUUUUGGUCGAGGGCACGCCUGCCUGGGCGUCACGCAU
Molecule: ribosomal RNA, 165 nt
Filed under: Vernoniastrum latifolium
Lineage: Eukaryota; Viridiplantae; Streptophyta; Magnoliopsida; Asterales; Asteraceae
Description: 5.8S ribosomal RNA
Rfam family: 5.8S ribosomal RNA
About the family: 5.8S ribosomal RNA (5.8S rRNA) is a component of the large subunit of the eukaryotic ribosome. It is transcribed by RNA polymerase I as part of the 45S precursor that also contains 18S and 28S rRNA. Functionally, it is thought that 5.8S rRNA may be involved in ribosome translocation.
Source: RNAcentral